Molecule: ribosomal RNA, 319 nt
Filed under: uncultured eukaryote
Lineage: Eukaryota
Description: partial 18S ribosomal RNA
Rfam family: Eukaryotic small subunit ribosomal RNA
Source: RNAcentral
CCCUUAGAUGUUCUGGGCUGCACGCGCGCUACACUGGCGUACGCAACGAGUGUCCUUUACCGAGAGGUAUGGGUAAUCAUUUGAGUGUACGUCGUGAUGGGGAUAGAAUAUUGUAAUUAUUACUCUUCAACGAGGAAUUCCUAGUAAGCGCAAGUCAGCAGCUUGCGCUGAUUACGUCCCUGCCCUUUGUACACACCGCCCGUCGCUCCUACCGAUGGGUGAUCCGGUGAAUGAUUCGGACUCGGUUGCCUCUAGCCACUAGUGGCGCUCGAGAAAGUUUUGUGAACCUUAUCACUUGGAGGAAGGAGAAGUCGUAACA